Molecule: ribosomal RNA, 305 nt
Filed under: uncultured bacterium
Lineage: Bacteria
Description: bacterial SSU rRNA
Rfam family: Bacterial small subunit ribosomal RNA
Source: RNAcentral
UCCCUACGGGAGGCAGCAGUCGGGAAUAUUGCGCAAUGGAGGAAACUCUGACGCAGUGACGCCGCGUAUAGGAAGAAGGUCUUCGGAUUGUAAACUAUUGUCGUUAGGGAAGAAAAAUGACGGUACCUGACUAAGAAGCUCCGGCUAAAUACGUGCCAGCAGCCGCGGUAAUACGUAUGGAGCAAGCGUUAUCCGGAUCUACUGGGUGUAAAGGGAGCGCAGACGGCAGGGCAAGUCUGAUGUGAAAGUCCGGGGCUCAACCCCGGGACUGCAUUGGAAACUGCCCGGCUAGAGUGCAGGAGAGG